RNAcentral lists this transfer RNA (87 nucleotides) under Rickettsiales bacterium. RNAcentral's name for it is "tRNA-Leu". It matches the Rfam family "tRNA". From Rfam's summary of the family: Transfer RNA (tRNA) molecules are approximately 80 nucleotides in length. Their secondary structure includes four short double-helical elements and three loops (D, anti-codon, and T loops). The record is from RNAcentral. Lineage: Bacteria; Pseudomonadati; Pseudomonadota; Alphaproteobacteria; Rickettsiales.
GCGAUUGUGGCGGAAUUGGUAGACGCGUAGCGUUGAGGUCGCUAUGAAUGCAAGUUCGUGGAAGUUCAAGUCUUCUCAGUCGCACCA